Thalassophryne amazonica is the source of this 207-nucleotide long non-coding RNA. RefSeq lists it as uncharacterized. NCBI's taxonomy places the organism in Eukaryota, Metazoa, Chordata, Actinopteri, Batrachoidiformes, Batrachoididae. The transcript has 2 exons. The record is from RefSeq and is a predicted model, not a curated record.
UAUUACUUUUCUCUUCACCGCAAACAGUCCUGCUUAUGUGCGCAAUCCACACUUGGCUGCACUGAAAGAAGACAUUCUCUAUCACUUCAGUCUUGGUACUGCCACUCAUGACCUGCCAGCCAUGUUCGGUGAUGUCAAAUUUGUGUGUGUUGGGGGUAGUCCCUGGAGGAUGAAAGAAUUCAUUGAGUACGUUGCUAUUGAACUGGG